This 460-nucleotide ribosomal RNA is filed under the name uncultured bacterium. RNAcentral describes it as "partial 16S ribosomal RNA". It matches the Rfam family "Bacterial small subunit ribosomal RNA", at positions 338 to 795 of the family's 1533-position model. The record is from RNAcentral.
CCUACGGGAGGCAGCAGUGAGGAAUAUUGGUCAAUGGACGAGAGUCUGAACCAGCCACGUAGCGUGAAGGAUGACUGCCCUAUGGGUUGUAAACUUCUUUUAUAUGGGAAUAAAACAGGGUAUGCAUACCCCCUUGUAUGUACCAUAUGAAUAAGGUUCGGCUAACUCCGUGCCAGCAGCCGCGGUAAUACGGAGGAUCCGAGCGUUAUCCGGAUUCAUUGGGUGUAAAGGGAGCGUAGGUGGAUUGUUAAGUCAGUUGUGAAAGUUUGCGGCUCAACCGUAAGAUUGCAGAUGAAACUGGGAGUCUUGAGUACAGUAGAGGUAAGCGGAAUUCCUGGUGUAGCAGUGAAAUGCUUAGAUAUCGCGAGGAACUCCGAUUGCGAAGGCAGGUCACUGGACAUCAACUGACACUGAUGCACGAAGGUGAGGGUAGCGAACGGGAUUAGAUACCCGGGUAGUC